RNAcentral lists this transfer RNA (74 nucleotides) under Julbernardia paniculata. Its description in RNAcentral is "tRNA-Pro". The record is from RNAcentral. Lineage: Eukaryota; Viridiplantae; Streptophyta; Magnoliopsida; Fabales; Fabaceae.
GUGGAAAACAAGACAAAGAUUUUUUAGAAUGACACUGUAAAACAAUUGAAAGGGAUGUAGCGCAGCUUGGUAGC